RNAcentral lists this long non-coding RNA (2067 nucleotides) under Ananas comosus (pineapple). RNAcentral's name for it is "long non-coding RNA (ACOM_LNC039037)". Lineage: Eukaryota; Viridiplantae; Streptophyta; Magnoliopsida; Poales; Bromeliaceae. The record is from RNAcentral.
UUUAGCUCAUAACUUUACUCUAAGGUUUCUAUUACCUUAGGAUCACAACACCAACCACUAGCUUCUAAGGUUUCUAUUACCUUAGCUCAAGCCUCUAUCUCUAGCUCAUAAGGGUUCCUCUACCCUAUCAUAGCUAACCACCCGACUCGGCUUCGAGUCAAUCAUCUGCGGAUAGUCCGCGCACUGGCUGCUCAACAGCCUACCGCACUCUCUCUGACUCAGCCUCCUAGCGGCGAAAUCGUCGCACACGCUGAACACGGCUCGAGUCACAAGACUUGACCAUCGGUGGCGAUCGCGUUGCACAUACCCAGCGUGAGCUCGAGACAUGACAUACCGUCUGGCGGCGAACGGGUCGCACCACACCCAACAACGAUCAUGUCAGACUCAGUCACCUGGAGGCACCCGCAUCGUACUUACCCAGCAUGGAUUCAGUCUACUCUGGCGGUCUGAUCCUCAAAUGGCUUAACCAUCCGGCGGCGAAAUCGUCGCACAAACGCCACGACAAUGGUUCAAGCCCCGGGCGGUGAUCUCCAUAUGAUCGCCCCCAAUCUACCCACGGUACCAAGCUCGGCGGCGAAGUCGUCGCACGAACGCCCUAGCCUGUACCAGGGACAUCAUAAGUCCUGGGAUUCCGGAAUCCACUUACCACAGGUCGAGGGUUCAUAGCCAACCCUAUACUGUCGACCUAGCUCAAUCUAGUGGCUAUACCACUAUACUCAUCAACCUAGGUUCCAACACUCUAGGUUCUAUGUCCACAUCACUUAACCUAGAUACACUUGCUAGGUUCUUAUCAUCUUUGCCUAGAUGUCCACUUCUAGGUUUACUAGUUCAACCUAGGUUUACUAACACUAGGUCAAAUGCCACACACCUAGAUUGUUCGACUCUAGGUUUACUAAUCAACCUAUGUUCUUUAACACUAGGUUAGAUGCCACUCGAUCUAUCUGACAACCUAGUUGUCCAAUCAACUCUAUUUACACUAGAGUUAUCAUGUCACUUACUUAGCUCUCAUGAUGCUACUUUGCAUUCUCUACUUUAACUAGCAUUAUAUACAUGCUAUGCUCAUUAUGCUCUCUAUGCACCAUUAUUUAACAUGCAUUUACACUAUGCAUUAUUAUCAUCAUGCAUUCAAAUUACUUAGCCUUUACCUUAUGCAUAUUUACUAAUGCAUCAUUUAGCCUUGUCUACAUGCACAUGCAUCAACGUGAGAUUACAUUGCUAAGACAUAAAGGGCGACCUAGUCGCUUCGGUAAGCACAACCCACCUUAGAUAGCUUUUCCGAUUGCUCGUCGACACUUGCAAUCGGCCUCCCGCGGCACUCGGCACCCGCUAGGGCCCGAUCUCACAGUGGCUCCCCAGGAGCGCGCCGCUUCGCUGUUUCGAGUGUCGGCGACCCUCGCCUCGCCGCUAUGGUGCUCGGGACCCACUCUCACAAUUUGUGGACGUCGCCUCGGCCUCCCGGGGAAAACGAAGCUCCGAGCGCCCGCUUCUCCAAUAUCUUCGCAACGGCUUGUUGGAUUGCCGAACCGACUUCGCCAACGUGUUUCGUUACCUACCAAUUAGGUUUACGAGGGGUCAAAUGAGAUCAAACUCAUCUAUUUACAAAAAAACCCCCAUGGAUGCCCUAGAAUGCCCUCAACAUCAAAACCACCAAAUCGAUCUAUGAAACGGGGUGAAAUCAUCUUAGAGGCAUGCUAGGGUUCCUCUAAAUCCAUUUCAAGGGUUUAUAAACCCAUCUACAAGGAAAUCACCAUGAGAAGCCAUGAAACUCACCUCUCCAAUAGCUCCAAGGGGAAGAACUAGACGAAGAGGAUGACGAUGGCGACGAUCUCCUGCAUCUCCUCCAUCUUCUCCUUCUUUUCCCUUCUCUCUUUUCCUUUUCUUUCUUUCUUUCUCUUUUCCUUCUUUGCUUCGCACGAUCAGAGAGAGGGAGAGAGAAAGAGGCUGAGGGAGUGUGAGAGAGAGAGAGAAAUAUCCCUCUCUAAUACCCUCUCACAUAUUAUAACAAUAUCUCCAAAGGCCCCUCAACUUUUUGUCUCUUACACAGCCCUCUCUGGGCAUCCUGCGCGC